Molecule: long non-coding RNA, 27548 nt
Filed under: Linum usitatissimum (flax)
Lineage: Eukaryota; Viridiplantae; Streptophyta; Magnoliopsida; Malpighiales; Linaceae
Description: long non-coding RNA (LUSI_LNC004165)
Source: RNAcentral
CUUUUCUUCCUCUACAGCCCCAACUUGUGAACUUGAUGGUGCUCAAUCUCUCCUUGUGCUAUAAUCUAAUUGCUAUUCCAAACAUAUCAAGUUCUUCAAAGCUUGAAGAACUCCUUCUCAAGGGAUGUAUCAGCCUAGUUGAGGUACCUUCUGAUGUUCAAUAUUUGACCAAGCUGAUAACAUUAGACCUCAGUCAAUGUCGAAAACUCAAGCGUCUUCCGCCUAAACUCGAAUCAGAGUCUCUUAAGCAUGUUAGAAUGAGUAGGUGUUCCAAUGUCAAUCACUGCCCACAGAUUAUUUCAAACGAGUUGGUGGAAUUGGAUUUAUCAUGGACACCUCUCCAAGAGCUACCUAGUGCAAUAUACAAUGUCAAGCAAGAUGGAGUCCUAAACCUCAGCGGUAAAAACAUUACCAAAUUUCCUGCAAUUACAACAAGCUUGAACACUUUUUCCUUGAUCUAUACUUCAAUAAGAGAGAUUGAUUUGUCUGAUUGUCAUCAACAUCAGACUUCUUCUGAAUUAAUAUUGCCGAGAUUUUACGAGCUGGAGCUUAAUGGAAAUAAGGAACUCCAAACCCUGUCGAAGAAUAUAUGGAAAAUGGUCUCUUAUAAACUCUACAUUUGGGGGUCCCCAUUAAUUGAAAGUCUACCGGAGAUAUCGGAGCCUGUUAUUGGCUUAGCUUAUCUUCAUAUAAGCUUUUGUGAAAGCCUCAAAAGCCUACCAUCUAGCAUCGGCAAUAUAAAAUCUCUCAAGCACCUUGUUUUAUAUAAGACGGAUAUUAAGUCACUACCUUCCAGUAUCCAAGAAUUGAGGGAGCUUGAUACAAUUUUCAUGCAGCACUGCAAGAGUCUCGAGACAAUCCCAAGCGAUAUCUAUAAGAUUCUCAACUUGAAAUAUUUGGCAGUGGCUAACUGUGAGCGUAUUCAAUAUCUACCAGAACUCCCACCAAAUCUGUGGGUAUUGACUGUAAGUGGUUGCAAGUCUUUACAAGCUCUACCAAGCAACACAUGUAAGCUGGUGCAUCUGAAGUCCCUCAAAUUUCAGGAUUGCCCACAAUUGGACCAGACCAUACCUGCUGAAAUCGUGGCGAAUUUCUUCGUUCAAGCCAGCUUGCCUUCGUCACCGAAGGUAACGUAAAUGUCACAGUGAUCUUUUUAGCCGUGAGAAGCGAGUUGUUUGUUAAAAAAAUGUUUGAUGAGGUUGUUUGUCUUAAUUUUUGGGUGACAGCGUGAAGUUGUAUGUUCAAGAAGCGAGCUUCCGGACUGGUUUAUGUACAAAAGCAUGAAUAGCAGUGUGAAGGUGGAGUUGCCUCUUCCUAAUCAUGGCGACCAACCAAUGAUUAUGAAGGGAAUUGCAUUCGGUCUUGUGUUUUCUCCCCCCUAUAGGGAGACUAUAAGAUGCGAUUGCAAGGUCGGGAACACCAUCAUUGCAUCUUGGUCUUCCUGUGUCUUUGGAUUUAAAGGUGAGAACUCACCAGAAAAGCUUUGGUUGCAGUGCGACAAGUGGGAUGUGGGAAGUAAAGAAGAUGAAGCAUGGUAUGUGAAGUAUGCUGGGCUCUCUGUUUCAUUCUAUUUCUAUGAAGAAGACGAUAAGGAGAUCAAAAUAAAAGAAUGUGGAGUCUCUCUGAUAUACUAAAAAGGACAUGACAAUAAAUUUGUUAAUCAACAUGAUUCUCAAGUUUAAUUUUGUUGUAUCAUCCUAUCUUCUACUAUUCCCUAUGGAAUUUGGUUGAGCCAUUAAAAACUCAUUAGCGGCUCCUAACGUCAAUUUCUGACUUGGUGACUCUCCUCUCAAUUCCAAAAAGCAACAAUACGAGGGAAAAACAAACUGAAAAAGUGGGUUUGCAACACGUGUCCUCUCAUUCCUUCCCAAUCCCAUGCAUGCAACUAAUAACCCCCUGUUCACUGGCUUUAGGUAUAAUGUUUAUCUAACUAAAUGUAUAAGGUAAAAUGUUACGUGUUUAUUUUCGUUUAUUUUGAACUCAUUUAGAAGACCACUGUUCUUUUUUGGGAAAUAGAAAAAGGGCCACCUAGUCCAGUCCUAUCCCCCUUAUUGUUUUAGAUGUUUCGGAAAACUGACCAUACAGUUGAUUAUCUUACUUACAAAGGUUAUAAUUUAAUUUUUAGGAUGCAUAUAUAUGGUGCCGAUUCGAAAUAGGUCAUGGACUUCCUAGAUGGACUCUCUACCAUAUUUCGGGGGUGUUGAGUCACGUUUGAUUUGAAAGUAGUUUUUUUAUUUAUCUUUAUAGUUGAAAUCACAUAUAUCUCAUUAACAAUAACAAUCAAAAUUCUUAGUUCAUUUAGUUAUUAUUUGAGGCGCUUUAUUGCGAAAAUUGUUAUAUUCUCAAACGUAUCCCAUCAGUUUGUAUCAAUUGGUAUAUUCUCCAAUGUAAAGGCUUCAAUUUAGUUGAAGAAAAUAUUGCGAGACGACGAGGAUCGAGUUAGCUUGAUUUUUUGUUUGUUACAGUUUGAGUUUGGAGAGGAGUAUAUGAAUAAUGAUUUAGUUCUANNNNNNNNNNNNNNNNNGAAAACACAAUAGAACAAAAAAGACAAGUUACAAAAAAAGGACCCUGAUCAUGAAAAUAUUAAAAGAAUAGGGAGAAAUUCAAUUUUUCUAAAUCAUGUAAAAAAAACUCUAAAUUUGAUUGGGUGGGAAUAUGAAGGGAAAGUAUAAAUGAUUGGAGGAAAAAUGAUUUUAUUUAUUUUUAUANNNNNNNNNNNNNNNNNNNNNNNNNNNNNNNNNNNNNNNNNNNNNNNNNNNNNNNNNNNNNNNNNNNNNNNNNNNNNNNNNNNNNNNNNNNNNNNNNNNNNNNNNNNNNNNNNNNNNNNNNNNNNNNNNNNNNNNNNNNNNNNNNNNNNNNNNNNNNNNNNNNNNNNNNNNNNNNNNNNNNNNNNNNNNNNNNNNNNNNNNNNNNNNNNNNNNNNNNNNNNNNNNNNNNNNNNNNNNNNNNNNNNNNNNNNNNNNNNNNNNNNNNNNNNNNNNNNNNNNNNNNNNNNNNNNNNNNNNNNNNNNNNNNNNNNNNNNNNNNNNNNNNNNNNNNNNNNNNNNNNNNNNNNNNNNNNNNNNNNNNNNNNNNNNNNNNNNNNNNNNNNNNNNNNNNNNNNNNNNNNNNNNNNNNNNNNNNNNNNNNNNNNNNNNNNNNNNNNNNNNNNNNNNNNNNNNNNNNNNNNNNNNNNNNNNNNNNNNNNNNNNNNNNNNNNNNNNNNNNNNNNNNNNNNNNNNNNNNNNNNNNNNNNNNNNNNNNNNNNNNNNNNNNNNNNNNNNNNNNNNNNNNNNNNNNNNNNNNNNNNNNNNNNNNNNNNNNNNNNNNNNNNNNNNNNNNNNNNNNNNNNNNNNNNNNNNNNNNNNNNNNNNNNNNNNNNNNNNNNNNNNNNNNNNNNNNNNNNNNNNNNNNNNNNNNNNNNNNNNNUUCCAAAAGGAUGUCCAAUUUCAUCAUUAAAUAAAUUAUAUAUAUAUCCCACCCAUGAUAUCAAGAUUGGAUCAAAACAACUUCAAUAAAGCUUUUUCCUCAAAGAGGGGGACCCUUAUGAACAAAGAUGCUUUUCUUUCACAAUAAUGCUACAAAUAAAAACAAACAAUCUAGCCAUUAAAAGUGGGUAGAGAGAGAUCAGAAUAACAAUGGGGGGUCUACUUUAUUUCUCCCUCCAUGUGUUCAUAACAAAACCAUUUUUUCAUAACAAAAAGGUCCACUAAAACUAUCAUGAAAAGUUGGAAUGUAAGUGAAUUUAGAUAUAAAGUUGGGAGGUAUGAUGAGAAUAUUCUUAUAACAAGUUAUAAAAUUUUGAUGAUUGAUGGAGAAGUAAACUUAGCAUUGAAGGUAGGUGAAGCUAUACUUCAAUUAGUUUGCAAGCAAUUGAGGUUUUGUGUUAAUGUAGUUGGGUGAAAUAAAUGGAGUACAUAUGGCUUUCAAAAUGAAACCAGUAUUUAUAUGUUUAAUCUGAUUAUCUAUCGGAGACAAUUUUUUAAAAAAAUUAUGUGUGUUAUAAAGCAUUCAUUCACUAUUGACAUGAGACAUCAUCUAGCUCAGGGAUGUUUUUUAGACUAGCAAUAAGGCACCUUUCGAAAAAUUACCCUUAUCGUGAAUCAUUUUGAACAUUUAUAAACAUAAUAAACUUAUGGUAGUUUGAAGAUAUGAUUAGCAUACAGAGUGAUUUUUCACUAACUCGAAAUAAAUUUAUAUGUAUUUUUAAUGACAGAGUACCGAUAAUUGCAUUAUAAAGAAUUAAAUUAGAAAGUGUACAAAAAUACAAGUUGGGACCAAUGUCUUGUCCAUUCCACAACAAAUUAUGAACUUUUAUAUUCUGAUAACUAAUAUGGCAAAUUAUUCAAGAAAAAAAUUAAAAUAAGAUUGGCUUCACGUUGUCACCUAAUUUAAUUAAUUAAGGUUUAGAAAGUCCACCACAGAGACCAAAAGUUGAUGGCGAUGUCGUGGCUGUACACAGUUAUGUUUUCUUCUUCAUGUCUUAAUUUGUCACAAGAUUCCUUCAAAGAUGUGGUAAAACUCGAUCAAUUGGUCAGCAAUCUGUGUUUUAACGGUUGUUACAUUCAUAUAUAUCUUCAUUUUAUUUCAUUUGAUACGUCGAUACACCGAACUUAUCUCUGAAUCUAGAAUGGUUAACUCACCAUCUACCAUUGGGAUAAAAAAGCAAAGGCAUUAGAUACUAGUGCAUCUUUCUCUCCAUUACUGACCUUACCUCACCAUUAACAAUAGCAAAAAUUCAAAACCGACAAUCCCCUCUUGCCAAAUUUAAACACACAUCACUUUCCCAAAACAAAAGCAGAAGAAAACACACCACACCAUGACACCCACCACUUCAUCAUCUUCAUCGUCGUCUCUCUCCCCACCAUUACUGAACUAAAACCAGAGCUCUCAAUUCCCUCUUCUUCUCUUUUAUCUAAUCCAACAAUGGCGGGAGCUAAGCUAGUGGUGGAGGUAAUCGACGCCGUCGACCUAAUGCCGAAAGACGGCCAAGGCUCAGCGAGCCCAUAUGUUGAGGUGGAAUUCAACGGCACAAAGCUAAGAACUUCGACAAAAUCCAAAGACCUCAACCCACAGUGGAACGAGAAGCUUGUUUUCAAUUUAAGCAACGACGACGCCAGAGAUCUACCUAACUCCACCAUUCAAGUAGUUGUCUAUAACCAUGGAAACGACGUCGUACCACCUAAGAACUUCCUCGGCAGAGUCAGAAUCUCUGGCUCCUCUGUUGUUUUCUCUGAUGAAGGUGAAUCGGUUGGUGCUCAGCCUUACCCGCUUGAUAAGCGUGGGCUUUUUUCACAUAUUAAGGGGGAGAUUCUGUUGAAAGUCUAUGCUUCUGUCGGGAAUCGCCGCCGUCCGGCGGCGAUGGCGACGGCUGCUGAAGUUGAGAUCGACCCGGGUUCGAAUUCGGAUUCGGUUGAAGAAGAUGAAUUUCGUCGUAAGCGGGAUAAUCAUGAACAGGGUGAGAUGAAGGAGGAUAAGAAACACAAGGAGAAGGAUAAAGUUCGCACCUUUGACUCAAUUGGCGGCGGCGGCGGAGGGUUUAGAGAAACCAACCAGAAUUCGAAUUCAGCUGAAGAAGAAGAGUUUCAUCAUAAUCGGCAUAAUCAUGAACAUGGUGAGAUGAAGGAGAAGAAGAAGCACAAGGAGAAGGAUAAAGUUCGUAUCUUUCACUCAAUUGGCCACAACCAGAGCCACCACCAUCAACAACUGCAGCCGCCGCCGCGGUACGGCGGUGGCGGCGGGUUUGAAACGCAGUAUCAUGUGAUGAGGGAUACAACGCCGGUGGUGGAGACAAGAACGAGCUACGCAAGAGCUGCAACACCAGUAGCGAGCUCAGUGAUGCAUCAUAUGCAUAUGCCGAAGCAGAAUCCGGAGUUCUUGCUAGUGGAGACGAGUCCGCCAUUGGCAGCUAGGAUGAGGUACAACAAAGGAGGAGACAAGACGUCGAGCACUUACGAUUUAGUCGAAAAAAUGCAUUUCUUGUAUGUCAGCGUUGUGAAGUGCAGAGAUCUUCCUGUAAUGGAUGUCACAGGGAGUUUAGAUCCUUAUGUGGAAGUGAAGUUAGGGAACUACAAGGGGAUGACAAAGCAUCAUGAAAAGAAUCAGAAUCCGACAUGGCAUCAGAUUUUCGCCUUUUCGAAGGAGCGGUUACAGUCAAAUUUGCUGGAAGUUGUUGUGAAAGAUAAGGACUUUGCUAAGGAUGAUUUCGUCGGGAGGGUGAACUUCGAUCUGACCGAGGUUCCUGUUCGAGUUCCACCGGAUAGUCCGUUGGCUCCACAAUGGUAUAGGCUGGAGGAUAAGAAAGGUUACAAAGGGAGAGGUGGAGAGAUCGUGCUUGCUGUAUGGAUCUGUACACAAGCUGAUGAAGCAUUUCCUGAAGCUUGGCAUAGUGAUGCUCAUGAUAUUGGUCAUAUAAACCUGGCGAAUACGAGAUCGAAGGUAUAUUUCUCGCCGAAGCUGUAUUAUUUACGAGUUAAAGUGUUUGAGGCUCAGGAUUUAGUACCUUACGAUAGAAGUCGAGUUCCCGACACGUAUGUGAAAGUCGUGUUGGGGAGUCAAGGGAGAAACACUAGACCUUCUCAGAUGAGGACUGUGAAUCCGAUUUGGGGGGAAGAGCUAAUGUACGUUGCUUCCGAGCCAUUCGAGGAAUUUAUCAUCGUUUCAGUUGAGGAUAGAGUUGGGCCGGGGAGAGAUGAGACAUUGGGGAGGGUUGUUGUGUCGUUUCGAGAUGUUCCUCAGAGAUUGGAAACCAGUAAGAUGCCCGAACCGAGGUGGUUCAAUCUGAUGAGGCCGUCGUAUGGCGACGAGGAUGGGAAGGAGAGGCAUAAGGAGAAGUUUAGCAGCAAGAUUCUUCUUGGGUUGACUUUAGAAGCAGGGUAUCAUGUUCUUGAUGAGUCUACACAUUUCAGCAGCAAUCUCCAGCCGAGUUCAAAGCAUUUGAGGAAGUCGAAUAUCGGGAUACUUGAGCUUGGGAUACUGAGUGCUAGGAAUUUGCUGCCGAUGAAGGGCAGGGAUGGGAGGACGACCGAUUCUUACUGUGUGGCGAAGUAUGGUAACAAAUGGGUUCGAACUCGGACACUCCUCAACACCCUGCAUCCGAAAUGGAACGAGCAGUUCAGUUGGGAAGUUUUCGAUCCCUGCACUGUGAUCACAAUCGGAGUAUUCGACAAUUGGCACACAAAUGGACACACAGACGCACAGGAUAAGAGAAUAGGCAAGGUGAGAAUCCGACUCUCGACUCUAGAAACCGAUCGAAUCUACACACAUUACUAUCCAUUACUCGUUCUCCAACCGAACGGAUUAAAAAAGCACGGAGAGAUUCAGCUAGCUUUGAGAUUCACCUGCACUGCUUGGGUCAACAUGGUGGAACAAUACAGCAGACCAUUACUCCCCAAGAUGCAUUAUGCACAUCCAAUCCCUGUUCGUUACAUCGACUGGCUAAGACACCAAGCUAUGCAGAUCGUCGCAACAAGACUCGCCAGAGCAGAACCGCCCUUGAGACGAGAAGUAGUCGAGUACAUGUUGGACGUUGAUUACCACAUGUGGAGUUUACGACGAAGCAAAGCGAACUUCCACCGUAUAAUGUCGGUAUUAUCAACCGUGACAGGAGUUUUCAAGUGGUUCAACGAAAUCUGUUACUGGAGAAACCCGAUAACGACAUGUUUGGUUCAUAUCCUGUUCUUGAUCCUUGUUUGCUACCCUGAACUUGUCCUGCCUACUGUCUUUCUGUACUUAUUCGUGAUCGGGUUAUGGAACUACCGGUUUCGUCCUAGGCAUCCUCCGCAUAUGGACAUAAGGCUGUUUCAAGCGGAACAUGUUCAUCCGGACGAGCUGGAUGAAGAAUUCGAUUCGUUUCCAACUUCUAGACCGGUGGAUAUUGUAAGGAUGAGGUAUGACAGGCUGAGGAGUGUUGCGGGGAGGUUUCAGACCGUGAUUGGGGAUCUUGCGAGCCAGGGGGAGAGGGCUCAUGCUAUAUUGAGCUGGAGGGAUCCGAGGGCUACUGCGAUCUUUAUCGUGUUUGCACUUGUUUCUGCUGUGUUUAUCUAUGUCACACCGUUCCAGGUUGUGGCGGUUCUUGUUGGUGUGUUCAUGCUUCGACAUCCCAGGUUCCGGAGCCGGAUGCCUUCUGUCCCUGUCAACUUCUUCAAGAGAUUGCCCGCGAAAUCCGAUCUGUUGCUAUGAGAAUGGAGAUGCAAGAACUUCCCUCGAGUUUUUUCGGCUCCUGGUAUUUGAGAUGAGCCAUUAAUAUUCUUCAACAAAGGUGAAUAAUCAAUUUGGAUUAUAUGAUAUUUGUAUACUCAAGUUCAUGAACAUGAUUCUGUUUCUGUGUAAUUGUGAUGAAGCAUAUAGCAUAUAUAUUGUACGGAACCUACACAUAUUGUUGCUGGCAGUUUUUCAACUGGAUUGUCAAUACAUAAUGGACAGCUGCAUUCCCUUCCAUUCAAAUGUUCGAAUAUUCCGACCAAGAUCUUUGCUUUUUCGGUAGCUUCGAACGAUUGAAACUGUUUAAUAUCAGAUCUACAGCAGUAAUGAUGAACAUUGCUACAGGCAGAUUUCAUAGUGGUGUGUCAAUACAGAAUAAACAGCUGCAUUCAUUGCAUUCAAUCAAAAUGUUUCGCAGCUUUUUAUUCCAAAGAGGUUAAUGCUCAGCCUUUUCCAGUUCAAAAGAAAGGGUAAAUCAGUAAAUGUCUCAGCUUAUUUUGGCAAACUCAGUCUGUAAAGAUUCCAUUUUUGGUGGUCCAAAACCUUUUCAAGAGUCCCCACAACCAAUCUAUUACUACAAAGAGGCCAAAAUAAGAUACAUAGCCCGGUUUUCGAACCGGUUUUAUCACUUCUGGUCAACCGAUCAAGACGGUGGUGGAUAUCUGUAACAAAAUUUUGAAGGUGGUACAUUGUUAAUUUGUGUAUGCUACGAUUUUUGUGGAACUAGACGAAUAAUCCAUCGAUGCUUGUUACGUGACACAGAUGGGUAACGCGUGGCAAUGGACCGUAUGAAUAUAGGGUAUGUAUUGAGCUUUCGAGUUGAAUUGAAAGGAUACAUGAUCAUGACUAUAGUUGGCAGUGGGAAAGCGGAUACCAUUGUAAGUAUGAGUGCAACUGAAUUUGCACAUUACGAUCCAAGACGAGUUUGCUAACUAGAACUCUUAUAUGAUCGCAUGUUUUCAUGAGAUAUUAAAUCAAGACUGGAGGGUUAAAGUUGAGGAGCAUGUUUUUUGAGAACAACACUAGCUAGAUGGGUUGGACGUCACAUUUUGUAUGACUUGCUUGAAAUUUUACGAUGGUUAGAAAUGAAAAUAGACACCAAGAAUUCAACAACGAUCAUACAAAGGCCAAAAUAAGGGCACAUCCAUGGGAAAGAAAGAGCAAAUACAAACACUCAAAACACAAAGCAUCCAUCUUUUUCACUUCCAAAACUUGCAACACAAUAAGUUACACACAAAAUCACAUUACAGAUCUCUCAGACACUUAGGGGGAUGAUCUUGAACCUGUAAAGAAGCCUCUUCUUCUUCGCCGUCGGGUUGUCGAUCGUGAGCAGUAUCUUCCCCAGUUCACUCACCUUGAACUUGCUUGACACCACCGGCUCACUCAUCGGAGUCAUCUUCGUCGGUUUCUGGAUUAUAACCGUGUACGAGUCCUUCUGAUCGGGGACGAAUUCAGCACCAUAGCUCACUUCCCAUCCCACUACUCGGACCUCCCAUAUGAACACACAUUUCUGCACAGAUGCCCUUAUGAUCAUUCACCACUAUUGAAGAGAAAAGAAAAAAGUUACAAGCUUUAUGUGUUUUAUGUUUAUUACCUCAUAAAUUAUGAUCUCAACGGUUUGCUUGGUGCCCGAGUUCACAACGAUGUCUGUGACUGGAUCGGAGAAGGCGAAUUUAUCGGGGUUGCAAUCGCAGUCCUCGACGCUCAUUCCACCGUACUGGAUCGGUACUUCUUCAGGUGGUAUAUAUCUGUAAAAUGCAGCAUCACAAUCAUGAGUUUCUAAACCAAACAAAAGCCAUGGAAAAUGACCGACUAAUCGAACCGAAACAGAAAGAAACUAACUUGAACAGAGUUUCUGGCGAUCUGGCCGGGCUGGCGAAUACGAACUUGCUCUUGGUUCUCUGGGUCAUGAAUGGACUCAUCAUUGUGUAGAAUGCAUAAUACCACCAUGGAACGUUAAUGAACACCUACACAAUUGCAACAAAUCGAAAUUCGAACGAAUCGAUUCAAUCCAUACACCCCCAAUGUAUAUACAAACAUUUCCACAGGAUACAUUCAUCAAUCAAACUUAUGUCAAUCGAAUUCGAGCUCGAAAACAAUUACCUGUUUGGCGACGAAUUCGGGGUAAUUAUCCUGCAGAAGCUGGAGAGCUUGUUUAGUAGCCAAUCUGAGCUCCUGCUUACCCAAUCCAGGAGAAUUUUUCAGAUCAUUCACCUGAAAGAUCGUCGAAACCCCUCCCGGCACGAAAUCGAGACUCCUAACACUCUUCUCCAAGCACCGAAUCCGCCACCUCAAGAACUUCAUCCGCUUCUCCUCGUCGGAAAACGUCUUCUGAUACAGCUCCUUGUUCUGGAACUCUCCAAACACGUUGUAACAGACCGGAUGGCAGUCUCGAUCGUGGCCGUGCAUGAACAUCACCUUCUCCAGAUCGUCGCCUAGAAGAUCUUCCUCCUCUACCAGCUCGUCGAUUCGGAACUCUUUCCUCCACCGGAUUGUGUUCUUCAGCAUUGUAAGAGCUUCUUUCACUUUGAAAUCCCGUGCCCUCAGGAACUUCAGCAGUACGACGUCGCUUCUGUCGUCUUUCAGCAGCGGUAUCCCCCAAAUCGAAACCUCCGCCGCCGCCGCCGUGGCUGGGUCUUCAGUUUCUAUCUCUUCCUGGUCCGCUUUCUUGUACUCGUCUAGAGACUCGAUUUCUUGAACUCGUCAAGAGCCUUCCUUUCCGAAUCAGACAGAUCGGUCACUCGAUUGCUCUCUUCCUUAAACGAAACCAGAGACUGAGGUGGAACAUUAUUACCCCUCACAAGCUUAUCAUCAGACUCGCCGGCGGCGAGCUCCUCCCUGAUAACAACAGACUUAACAUCCGUAGCAGCAGCUGCCUCUUCUUUCUCCAUCAUUUCCAGUACCGACUUUCUCUUACUGGAAGAAGCCACCUUUACCUCCGACGUCGGCGGCUCUGCGGCGGAUGAAUCGUAGGGGGAAACCUCGGCGGCUGGUGUUUGCUCUGGCGGCGCUGCGGCGGAUGGCUCGUCCGGAGAAACCUCCGCGGUUGGUGUUUGCUCUGACGGCGGCGGUGGUGGGAGUACCAAUAUUACUGGAAGCUCUUCAGUAUCUGAUUGAGGAGGAGGAGGAGGAGGAAGACUUGAAGAUGGCAGCGGUGAAGCGAUGGAGGGAGGAGGUUCGUCGGCCAUCGGAGAUGAGAGUGAGAGAAGAGAGUGACGACAAGGGGAGAAAUGAGCGGACUUUGUCGUUGUGAAGUAAUCUGCAUCUAGAGCAAUCUACAAAAAUAUCUAAAUCCCAACUAGUAUAGAUCCAAGUGACUAAUUUGUAGAAACAUAAUAGCUGAUUGACUAUUUGAGUAAAAUAUCAAAAUAGUUUAUAUUCGGUUCUAAAUUCCGCUACAUUUCCUCUAGCGUCUCAAUAGUGUUAGAGUUCGCUUCAAAAUCCAAAGUAUUGAAAAAACGGUUAAAGCGACCGUUAAAAGAUCCACGUGGGUGGACCCGACUUUUUUUAUUUUUCCCGCGACCCAAGACAGUUAUUAGUUCUACGGAUAUUUUGAUAUAAGAACGUUGUAUUGCCUAAGAGUCCAAACAAGUUAAUAGUUUUUGUUAGAGUUAGACCGAAACUCUUGAUAAACCAAAUGAGACUUGAUGUUUACAUAAAUCUGUAUAAUAAAGCUUACUUAAAACAUGCAAAUGCGGUCCAAUAAUUAAUUAAUUUUUCGUUCAAAUCUGCUUUAACAAACCUAAUUAGAUGGAAGGAAACAUGUAUCGUCUCACCUUUAGUCUCAGCAGACUAUAAAAACAAGUGAUUAAUAUUUAAAUGGUCAUAAGUUGACUGAGGAACAUAUGAGAAUCUAACUAGUUAACCACCAAGUAGGUAUGCUUAGUAUGCAAGUGACCAUAUACAAACACGUAUUACAAGUCAACCAAUUUUCAAUAUAUGUUUUUUUAUCGGGUAAUUGUAAGACCGAUCAACUCGUCAAACUAAACAUCUUUGGCUAGCCAUAAAUUGACUCUGUGAUUGAAUGAGAAACACAGAGAAUUUGAGUGGUUAGUCGAGUUAGUAUGCUAGUGUUCAAUAGACAAACAUCCUCGAAUAAACAUGUUUUUGGCUUCAUUUAUUUAACAAUUAGUCAUGGAAUUGUCGAUCGAUUAAAACGAAAUCGUAAUCUCUAGCCGAUAAUAUGCCCCGAUGGUUAAAGAAAAUGUCCCAAAAAUGAUAGCCAUGAUUGAUGAGCAAAGUCUAUAGUCUUAACAGUUUGCAAGUGAGUGCACCAACAACUCAAUGUUGGUCACCUUCCAAUUUUAUUACAUCAAAAAAUUGAUUGCAUCUUCAACUAAUUGAUUUCAAUUCAUCUCCUCAAUCAAUUAAAAUUGAAUUCUGCCUCUCUUCACUUUUGCUACAUAAAAAAGCUGUAAGUUGCUUUGAAAUCCCACUCAUCCCACACUUCUUUCUUCAUUCUCUGUUCUCGUUCUUUUCUCUCUUGUAGUAAUUUCUUUACGAGUAGAUUGAUGGGUGAUAGAAAAUUUUGAUAAAUAUUUUUUUGUGAGUGUAAUUAUUAUUUUGAGAUUGAGAAAUACUUGAGAGAUACUAUAUUUGGAUCGGCUCAAAUCGCCUUAUAGCUACACUAUUAUAGUAACGAAAUGCUCGUAGCUGUUGCCGCUGCCGUAGAUGUACUCUCCACAUUGGAAGGAAACUACGUAAAUGCCGAUGUUAUUUACUUACUGUUUUACGCUUGGUAAUUUUGUGAAUGUGAUAUAUUACAGUGUUAAAUUAUUAAAAUAAAUUGUUGACUAAGAGUAUCGUUUUUUGGUAUUCACUUAAUAUGAUUUAAUAUUUUAAUAUAUUCACUUGAUUCACAUCCGUUGCGCCCCAACACUCAACUGGUUUUCAAUCCCAUUUUGUUAUCGAGUUAUUCCGACCAACUCGAAAAACCAAGCGUUGGGUUCUGGUCAGCUUUAGGUUGACUCAGUUGACUAAAUAGGUAUAUGGUUUGGUGGGUACAACAAUAAAAGCUUUCGACUUUCGCCGCCGGAAACAAGCCCAACAACCCCAGAUGUACGGCCAAAAUCUCCGGCGAGCGUUGCAGAAAUCAACCAGCACCGUCGCCGGCGUCUCAUCCAGCUCCCUCUCUUCCCGCCACCUCCUCCCUCUCCGUUCCUUCUCAGGUCAAAUAUCGCCGCAUUCCAUUUCAUCAUUUCCUCUCAUUUUACUGUUCCACUGCUUAUCUCCGAUUCUCUCUUACUGAUUCUCCUGCUUCAGAUACAUUCCGUAAGAAGGAGGAUCCGAGCAUGGUCGGAGUAGGCGGUAAGGACGAAGACGUCACUCGCGUUCUCUUCUGCGGGCCUAAUUUCCCCGCGUCGCAUAACUACACCAGAGAGUAUUUGGCCAAGUACCAUUUCAUUCAGGUAAUAUAAACUGAUUCUACUUUGAAAUUCAAUCUCCAGUAUUCAAUCGGAGAUAAAGUCUGUAAAGUUGUAUUGUAGGUUGAUGAUGUUCCACUCAGUGAAGUGCCCGAUGCCAUAUCGAAGUACCACCUGUGCGUGGUGAAGGACAUGAAGCUAGAUUCGAAUGUGCUUUCCAGGGCGAAUCGGAUGAAGGUCGUAAUGCAGUAUGGCGUUGGGAUUGAAGGUAGCUUAACAGUUUGUUAUUUCUUUGAUUCAAGUGUUUGUGCUAUCUUUCUGUAACUUUGUUUAUGAUGAUAGGUGUGGAUAUCGAUGCUGCUACGAAGUUCGGGAUCAAAGUUGCGAGGAUUCCCAGCGAUGUAACGGGGAAUGCAACUUCAUGCGCUGAGAUGAGUAUCUAUCUGAUGUUAGGUCUUCUCCGCAAGCAGGUUUGUAAUUGUGUAUACUGAAUUUGCCAAGAUGUAACUCUGAUCUGUUGCUAUAAGAUAUUACUAUGAUCCAUGGUUUGAUCUAUUAAGGUACUGAUUCCAUGUUUAUGAUCCAUAGCAUGAGCUUCAAGUUUCGGUGCAGCAGAAAAAGCUAGGAGAACCAAUUGGUGACACAUUAUUUGGAAAAACAGUGAGUUUCUCAAAAUCUAAUGGUUGUUUUAAAUGAGUUAUAGUAAAUUUAAGUUUUUUUCAGUCUCUGGCAUAUGAUUUCGGUUUUUUCUUUUGAAGGUAUUCAUAUUGGGGUAUGGAAACAUAGGGAUUGAGUUGGCUAAGCGACUGAAGCCAUUCGGUGUGAGAAUCAUCGCCACAAAGAGGAGCUGGCUGCUUCAUUCUAAUGGUAAUUCAGCAUCAUCUACUGGUGAGACAGUUCAUGAUCUGGUGGAUGAGAAGGGUAGUCACGAACAGAUCCACGAGUUCGCUAGCAAGGCAGACAUUGUUGUUUGCUGCUUGUGUAUGAACAAGGAGACGGUAUAAGAACGAUGCAAUUAUUCCCUUCAUUUCCAUACUUUACGCUGCUGCAUAUCUAAUUUCACUUUGCUGCACUAUUCGAAUCAUCCAGGUCGGUAUAGUAAACGCAUCUUUCUUAUCUUCAAUGAGAAAGGUUCGUUCUUUCUGAUCACUUGAUCAUGGCCUGGCUACUAAGGUUAUGAGAUGCUCUGUACAUUCUAUUUUUUCAUUUUCCAGGGUUCCCUACUGGUAAACAUUGCUCGAGGCGGUUUGCUAGACUACUCAGCGGUUUUCGAGUACCUUAAGUCAGGACACCUCGGUGGCUUGGGCAUCGAUGUCGCCUGGACCGAGCCAUUUGAUCCUAACGAUCCGAUUCUGAAGCUCGACAACGUGAUAAUCACUCCUCAUGUAGCAGGUGUUACAGAACACUCCUACAGAUCCAUGGCUAAGGUAGUUGGAAAUCAAAAGUUUUAAACUUUUAAUGUCGUAGAUUCAAAAAUCUUCUUACAAUGUAAUCUUAAAAAUUGCAGGUUGUUGGAGAUAUUGCCCUUCAACUCCAUAAAGGCGAUUCUCUUACGGGCAUAGAGUGCAUAAACUGACCGAUAAAAUCUCACCGAUAUGAUCUCCGGUACAAUUUCACGAAACAUCAAGAGGACCCAGUUGUAGAGAGUAAUAAGUAGAGUGACUAAGUAGCAAGAAUGUAAUUGAGCUCUUUCUUACUCCCUUCAUAUGACCGUAGUUCGGUUUACAUUUCGAUUUCGAGAAUAGGGUUAGGGACAAAAUCUAUUAUUUCGAAACAUUCAUCCGAUUCGAGCAAGCUGCUCUAUAUUGAUAGGGUAAACAUAGCUCAUGUCUCCAUUGAAAGCUUUCUUCCCCAUCAUCACAUUCACCGCCUCGGUCGGGUGGAACGCGUCCCAAAAAAUGUAUUGAGCCCGGUUUCUGCACGGUGUCUGGAACGGUAAGCACGUUAUCUGUCCGGCAUUCCUCCCAAUCCCGCAGCAGCCUCUAUUCGUCACCAUAAACCCUGCACCCCAAACCACAAAAGAACACAUUUUCCAUGAAUUUCGUUAAAACUCCAAAAUUUUCUCACUUUUGGAUUUGAGCUUUUGUGUGUGCAUACCAUAGUUUCUCGAGUUGGCGAGCAUGUCGCUGAACAUUCGAUGGAUGUCGAUAUAAACGAACCUUGCCCCGGGUAGGUUCGAGUUCAAGUGGUUGAUCAUUGCCUUCACGUUUUGGUUGAAGGGAUAAAUGAGAUUGUUUACUUGCUCAGAGCAACGUCCAGCUGGGCUUUGGGCCAAAAUGCUGGGGAUACAGCCCAUUACUCCAAGCCCAGCUAUCGCCACUUUUCUGGCUCCCAGAUUGUAAAGCAUCUACGGCCCAAAAUGUAAAAAUUUGUUAGGUCAUUGAAAAAAAAUACUAAUUACGGUUAAGUAACCGAGUUGAUUGAAUUUUAAGUUACGAAGUGAACACAUUAAGAAUGGUUUAGAAACGAGUAUUUUACGGUGAGCUGGCGGGUGUAUUGCUGGACCAACAAGUCGGCAUACUGUUGACCGUUAUACUGUUGUCGAGUCGGGUAAUUGGGCAUGAGGUAGUUGUUGAGGUAAUCGUUACUUCCCAUUCCAACAAAGAAGAUGCUUCGGCCAAUGCCUCGAGCAAUGUCAAUUGCUCCGAGGUUGCCGGACAAUCGGUCUAGAGUGUUCUGGAAGUUCCUUAUUUGUUGGUCGAAUGGUAUCCGACCCACCUGCAUGGCACCACCGCGAUAAAAUUAGAAAGAAUGAGGACCAUAACGGAUAUUUUCCAUUCAAAGAGUGAGGAAUCUUAUCAUCACUAUCUAGAUUCUAACAUCCAUGCAAAAACAAAUAAUAUUUAUGACGUCACGGAAGCUUAAUUAUCACAAAGUUAAAAAGAGAUCUCACGAAGUUUCUUCCGGUGGCGUCAAGGAUCCCGGCGGCGGCGGAGGCAUAGUUAACGCCGUGAGUCAGGUCGCCGCCUUGAGUGUACGGUGGAAUCAACGGCAACCCCAGUUGCUCAGCUGCAUGCAUGCAAAACAACUCCCACAACUUUAAUUAAUUUCAUCACCUUCAUAAAUCAAUCAAAGAUCGUUUCAGUUUAUGAUGUACGAACCGAUUUCGUCGACCAUGGUGUAUCCAUUGCAGAACCGGCCGGUGGGACCGCCGUUGAAGUCGAUGCCGUAAGGGAAGUAGUUGGCCUUGGCAAAGGAAGGCAAGUUGUUGUUGUUGCCGUUGUCGAUCAGCGAGUCGCCGAACACGAACAACGCCGGAGCUAGUGCUUGCGGCCUCUGCCGACCUCGUCGGGCGCCGGUGGAAACAUCUCCUCCUCCGUCGCCUCCGACGGUGCCAUUGAAGAACUGGCCGCUAACCAGUUGGCAAAAUGUGGCCAGAAUUGCUACGAGAGCAAAAAGCUUGGUGCUUGAAGCCAUUUUGGUACUGAAAAGGUGAAUAUUAAGAACAAGUGAAAUGGGUUUUUAUAAUGGGAGGUGGGAAUUAAGUUUUGUAGUAAAAUAGUAAUAAUUCAUAGUCGGGGUAGUUAGGAUAAGAGUAAAUGCAUUCAUCUGUUACUUACCCAUUUUUGGAGUAAAUGCUACCCAUCUACGGUUUUGAUUUGGGUGAAAGUUGUACCAAAGAUCGAAUCGGUCGGGUUGGGAAAAAGUCGUGAAAGUUCCUAUUGUGAAGGCAAUUUUGAUGUCAAGGGUUUGUACGGGGCAUUCGAUGGACUCUCUUAUUUGCUUUUUACCUUUUAAUAUCUUCAUACAUGCAUAUUCCGUUGAUAAGUCGUUACAUAUGAUUUACGAGAGAGAAACAAAUCUUAUAAAAAAGUUUGUAUGGUAGAGUGAUUGUUUUUCUUCGAAAAAAACUGGUCGAGAAUAUCUUAAUUAGCUGAAGUAAAACUUCAAUAGAGCUGUAUAUUGAUUCGAUAUGUAUAGGAAAAAGGUUCAAAAUCUCGACACGAUUGAACCGAUACGGAAUUAUAUUCAAUACAUAGAGGAGGAUCUAGUGACUUGCAUUUAUGAUAUGAAAUUGAAUGAUACUAUUAUUGCCGCCAAUGGUCGCUUUUCACGUGCUGCCUACUGAAAUUCAUUACAGUGACAGUAGAUGAAGGAAAUCGGUUUUGGGAGGAUUUAGGUUCGAGUUGGGUCGGGUGUUUUAAAGUAGAACCUAGGGUUGACCAAAUUAGACUACCGUCCAAGGCUUUUCCCCGAGAACAAUGAAAAUCUAUGCAAAUUUUUCAAAAUCAAAGUCUAUGAGUUAUACUUUUAAACUUAAAUUAGAAUUGUGCGUGCGAUAUUGCGGAAAAUAUUAAAACAAAACACUAUUUAUUCAAUAGUAAUUCAUGUUUUACUUUUAUAGAUAGAAUAGAAAACGUAUUAGAAAAAUGAAAACGUGCAACAAUUUAAGUCAUGUCAAUUGAAAAAUGAAAAUUACCACAAGACCAUAAAAUGUAAGAUGUGAGCUCAAAAUAAAGUCAUCAUAAACUCAAAAUAAAGCGAUAAUAAACUCAAAAGAAAGCCCUAAUAAAAGAACCAAACACUAUUCAUUCAAUAGUAAUUCAUAUUUUUCUUUUAUAGAUGGAAUAGAAAACGUAUUAGAAAAAUGAAAGCGUGAAAUAAUUUAAGUCAUGUCAAUUGAAGAAUGAAAAAUACCACAAGACCCAUAAAAGGUAAUAUGGAGCUCAAAAUAAAGUCAUCAUAAACUCAAAAUAAAGCCCUCAUAAACUCAAAGUAAACUCAAAAUAGAAGUUUAAUAAACUCAAAAUAAAGCCUUAAUAAGAUAUCCAAACACUAUUCAUUUAAUAGUAAUUCAUGUUCUCCUUUUAUAAAUAAAAUCACCGUCCAGAGUCUAUACCAUCCUAGUUAUGUUAAUGGACGGUUACAAACGUGGCAAGAAAAAGUAGAAUAGCCCGAAAGAGCGGAGGUCGGGUCGGAUUCUAUAGGCUUAAAAAAACGAAUUAUGUAGGGUUGGAUUCAAGAUUUGAAGUGCUAGGUCGAACUACCAAAAUAUAUCAAAGACAUACAUUUAUGACUACUAUCAACACUCUAAACAAUAAUGGGGUUGUCCGAGGCUUCAAACCCCAUGCCUUUUGUAGGCGGGCCGAGCGCAACAAUAUAACUCAUGUCUCGUAGUAGGUUAGAUAUUACUCGUCCAAAACAUACCGAAUCAUGUUUAUUACAAUGAAUAUAUGUCCAGUUCAUUAAGAGAAUAUCAAGAUUCAAUACGUGAGCGGAAGGAAAAUCCGACUCUUUUACUUUAUAUAGACAACUCAUUUUCUUACUAACCAAACCAGAGUCCGGAUCAUAAGGAAUGGGCUUGAUUUUUUAUUUGACAAAUCGGUUUGAUGAUAACCACACCAUGCAAUUUGCAGCAUGGAUAGCUUAGCCAUUCAUCUAAGUUCGAUAAAACAAAAGAGAGUCAAAGAUGUUGACCAAUGGACUCACAUUUAUAAUACCAUACGUUUACCCUCUCUACUCACUGGUAAGACUGCCUAGGGAUGCAGAAAAAGAUAUAAGCAUUCAAUUCGAUCCCCAGAAAGUCAAAAACAGUACACUGAUGAAGAUUUUGGGACAAGAUUGAAGUCCAAGUCAAACUGUUCAAAGUAAUAUGUACCGGAGGCAGAGAUCGAAUCGAUAGUAUUAUGCCAGAUCAACCUUAUCAGAGAUUGAACCAUUUCGAGGCAAAAGUAACUCUCAACAUUCUACUAUCCAUACUCGGAGUGGUAGGCUCAUUCGAGUCACGGGAAUUUCAUUUCAAACAAAAACAUUAUUCCAAAAUGACAUGACAAGAAGAAGAGGAAGGAAACUCUGUUAAACAAAGCCAAUUAGGGCUAAUAAUGUUAUGUUCAUCAAUCAUUUGUACUGGUUUCUCAAAUCCUUAAGAUCUCAAAGUAAAAGAAAAAGUCCCUCAAUCAUGGUGACUUCACCGUUGAGUAUAUUCCUCGAGUGUCCAAGUUAGGUCUCAGUCUUGUCUUCCUGCAAAAACCAUGAGCAAUCUUUGUUAGAAAAAUGCCGGAUCGUUCAUCGUCAUACAGCAAGAUUGUUUAUGGUAAGCUUUGUUUCUAAUCAGUAUGCCAAAAGGACAAAGGUUGUGCCUUUAUUUCAUAUCCUAAUAAUUUAAUUUAGCCAGCUUAGCAUCCUAAGCCUAUAGCUCUCAAUUGAUGAUGGAACAAAGAAGAAACGAUUGCUAGCAAUGAAGCAACUAUAAAAUAGCAUUACCAAGUAGCUUGAUCAUAUGAUACUCGCCGUGACUGCAUAUUUAACAGGAGCUAUCUAUCUGAAUAAGAACCUAGUUCCAUUGAAACUCUAGUUAAGAAUACCAUAUUCAGCUACUAGUGUCAUUUAACUCUUUGUUCCGUAAGCUACAUGAAUGCAUAGAAACCUAAGAAACAGUGAGCAGAUUCUCAGAAAAAGAUAUCGCCAGCCGAACUCACCUGAGGAGUGGGAGGACUUUCCACCACCUUAGAAGGAGGAGGAGUGGGAGGACUGCUUGUCACCUUAGGAGCUGGCAAUGUCACGGGAGACCCCUCGAAAAUACGAGAGCACUCAGUGUAUGCAGCUCCAACGCCAACUCCUGCACCAAAGCCUACAGCAGCCCAUCGAGACACAGGGCUCCCUAUUUCGAAAACAGAAGAAUGCAUCAAUCUUCACUGUUGGAUUCAAACAUGAAUCAAAAAGCACAUAUCUUCCUUAUCUCACUCAUUCCACAUAUAGACUGUGUAUCCAUGCUUCAUAGUACACCAGCAAUCUCUUAAGUCUUUAAGUUGUACAAUCCCAGAAGAAUUAACUUAUUACAGCUAUGAUAAACACUAAAGACACUCUCUUUAAACAGCCAUCACUACCAAAUCGAAUUAAGAUAGGCCCAGUUCGAAAAGCAAUCUAGCAUUGUGAGUUAAGACUCAAUUGAACAGAAGACUUUCGAGCAGCAAUCUAGCAUUGUGAGACGAAACUCAAUUGAACAGAAGACUUCCAAAUUCUAGGCCAAACAAUGGUGAAGUAAUUCUAACGAAGGAAUCAUAAAAAAAGACAACCCUAAUUCCUACAAACAGCCAUGCAAGGAUAAAGUUUCGAUCUUUUUUCAACUAAUCCGAGAAAAAUUCUCACCAACCCGAUAGAAAGAACAACGAUUUCAAAUACCACAAACCCUAACGUGAGCUAAAGAGAUGGGGGGAGAAUACUGACUGCAGAAGAGGAGGCCGCCGAAGGCGCCGGCCAUGGUAGAGUACACGGUGCGGCGAACGGUGAGAUCGAUGCAAGCGUCCCAUUUGGCGUUGACGUCUACGGAUUCCGACAUACUUCGAAGAAUUUUCUCGUUCUUCAGUUUUCUCUGGUUUCUACUUCGAUUUCGAUUUCUUUCUUCUUCUUCUUCUUCUGGUUUCUUCAAUUGGUUUUUGCCUCCAUUAUUCUCUUCCCGCGGUCGGGCCCGAAUUUGGGUUCUUAGGCAAUCAAGGCCCAUUUAUUUAGGCCUUGUGAAAAGCCCAUGUGAUACGAUGAUCAAGCAAGAUUCCAACAUUAGAGGUUGAAUUGGAGAACUCCUCCCUAUACUAUUCUGUGAUGUUGUAAUAAGGUAAGUUUUAGAUUUUCGAUUUGUAGGUCGGAUACUUGUUUAAGCAGAUCAGAUGUGCUAUAAGAAAGUAGUGAGGAGUGAGCUCCUCAAGAUUCGAACAUGAAAUUCUUGAAUUUGAAAUAGUCGAUAUUUGGCGCCCUCUUCAACUAAAAAAUCAUCUUGGUAUAAAAUGGAAAGCCAACGUCAAAUAUAAAGUAUUUAACUUAUAUCCAACCGAAUAUUUCACCAACUCAAUUAAAAUAAUUAGAUCAAGUUUGCCAACCAAACAACCACCAAUUACCAGCUAGAUUCUCCAACUAUGUACAUUCCCAAAUUUUAUCAAAACAAUUAAACCUCUGUCUCCAGCACAAAAGCUAAUAAUCAAUAAGAUUUUUAUUUCAAAAAAUAAUUUUCUACAAGAUAUUCUUACAAGAUUGCAUCACUAAAUAAUAAAGGGAAUCAACUUAAAAUUAAUAAUAAUAAAUAAAUAUGAAAAAGACAGCAAAGAAAAAUCAACCAACAGCUUUUGGUGGCUUCUGGAAGCAAGCAAUCAAUGUGGUUUUAUAUACAAUUAUUCAACUAAUUCGUCAUGUAUUCAAAACAUUCAAUUUUACUAAUGAUGGUCUCGGCCUAAGCCGGAUUGGUCAGGUCUCGUACUGAAUGAUCAAGGAGCAAGUAAUUAAGGUAGAUUUUUUAUAGUUCGUCAAAUAAUGCAGGUUCUCCAUUUACAGACAGAAUACUCAAAACAAGGAGCUUUGAUCUCACCCUUCAUAAGCUUAACCCGUCGACCUUAUAUCUAACUCUACUCCUCUGAAGGUCCAUCACACUCGAUCUGUCAAGCAUCCAGGGAGGUUAUUUAUCUCGAACCACUCCUUGUAUUACCAACAUGACGCAACUAUGAAUGAAUGAUAUAAAAUUAAUAUAUUGGACUCUUUCCUAACAAUUGAAAUGACAUGAUAUGAGAGUUUUUACCGACGAAAGGUCAUCUUUUGAUCUCGUUAGCUUUCAAUCCGUUAUACAAAAUAUACCGAAGUUAUGCAAGUUUUACACUCUUCCAAGAACUUUCGUUUGAAGAGAAGAGGUAGUUAAUGAAUAACGGUAUUCAUUUCUUUUCAAACCAUUGAGAAAGUUUUUCAUAUGGAUUAAGCUAUUUACCUGGAUGCCAAGCUUUGAAAUCAAACACUCCAAAAAAUAAUAGAAUCUUGUUUGGGGAUCUCAUAAUGAAUCUGUCAGCAUAUUUGGAAUGUUUGUCCAGCACAAAUGAACUAGUAGAUUCCCACUGAGGGGAAAUGGAAUCUUUUUUCAAUCAAUAUGUUUUCCCCAAAUAUAAGCACCAAAGGGAGAAAAGAAGAUCAUUUUAAUGGACACACUUGUCAACUCAAUUAAUUAUCCUUUCAUAAUUAUGAAAAAUAUAUUAUAUAUUUCCACAAUUAUCCACAAAAAUGAAUUUUCAGGAUUCUAAUUAAAUUAUAUUAUCAUGUAUCGAAAAACGGUAGAUCAUAAAUAUGAAUCACAUAAUUAUUUAUCAACAACAAAUGAAUUAGCGGUGUGAUUACUUUCUUUGUAUGUAUUAACUACUUUUACCUUCAAAUUAAACUCAGCUUAGCAAAUUAAAGACAAGAUUUAGGAUGAUCGACAUCAUCCCUAUCAAGAAAAAAGACAAAAAAUUCGUCAAAAAUCAAUUUACAUUAUAAUUAUUCUUUUUGUAUAUCCAAAAUUUCAUAAUAUUAUCUAUCAAUGUUUCAAUUAAGAUCAAAUAAUGUAAAGCGUCGUGUGAACCUUAUCACGAAACAUUGAAUAUCGUGCCAGGGCCCCAUUAAGUCUCACAUCCUAAACAGAAUUGUGGGUCAAGAGGGAAUAUAAUUUGGUAUGUACAUGUACAUAUCCAACUGUUAAAUUGCUGUCCAAUUCUUUCUAAGUUCCACACACACCAAGCUGCAAUCAUGGAGAUUAGUGGGUUGUUAACGUGCAUGCCUACCAUUCUCCCACCAAAUUAUAUUUCUUAUAAUAUCAUACCUAAUUAUUUUAAAAAAGAUAAUGAUCAUCCUAGAUUAUUAUUCACCAUACUAAUAAUGAUAAAUAGGCAUUUCAACGUCUAAUUAAUAACCAUUCAUAUUUUUUUAUUCGCAGAAAAAUAUAUCCUUAUUUUGUUUCCAUCUAUAAAGGGCAGCAUAUAUAGUAAUUGUUGGUUCCAGGAUCCCAUUUGAUUUGAUAAAUUUAUGUUCAUACGGGAUUUCUACGUCAUACAAUUAAUCGCUCUAUUUGUUAUAUGAGGGAUCAAUGAUAAAGAAAUACGAUCAUAGGAUGAAAGGAUAACCUUCAUGAUGAAUAAUUCAAAGAAAUAUUGUCAUGGCCACUUACCCUUUUGGCUUUUAAGCGCGAGAAUAAGUGUGAGAGUGUAAGCUAGGAUCAACUAUAGGAGAUUUGUGCCAUUGAUGCGUCUUGAUCGUAGGAUCUAUCGUAGAAGAUUUUCAGUUGAGAAAGAGGGUCGUUGAUAUGGCGUGUCAUCAACGCGACCCAUUUAUCAUAUGAUUUUUUAGCGUUGAAGGUAAUUAUCUCUGGAGGAGGUGGUAGCAUUGUUCAAAAUCUUAUCGUUUCUAACUUUCCAGAUAUUUUACAUGAUCGAUAAACAUUUCCGAGAAUUUCGGGCUUAAAAUUUGCAUAAAACUAAAUAUUACUGUUUUUAAAGUAUAUAUCGUAUUUGCAUGUAUAAGAUACUGUGCAUUAUGGAAUUCCACUUUCGAAAAAAUCAUGGCUCUGGCAGUAGCUAUGUAUGACCCAGCCACUUUGGUUCCUUUUAAUUUCCUUUUGGAAAGAUAGACAUGACUACUCGGACAGCUUGGCAUUGAUAGGAAUGAUAAUUGGACUCAGCUCAACCCAAUUGAAUCAACCCGGUUCGAUUAUUCACAAGUCGAGAUAUACCUUGAAAGAGCUUAUGAAAAAAUAUAAAUUUUCUUUCAUCGCAAUUUAGCUGGUCAGGCCAUUUGAUUUGAAUGGGUGACGAGCUUGAUAUUCAUGAUGGUUAUCGUUAUUGCAUUUGUAACAACAUAAUUGUCAACUUAAAUUCGAUAAGUUACAUAUCACUAACCUAGUGUCUUUCUAACCAACGUGAUCAUUAUAUCAACUCUAUGUCUGAAAAUUAUGUUAAAUUCACCAUGACAUCUUAUCAUUCAUGCCCAUGUUAUCUAUCAACAUUCUACCGCAUAUCCAACGUAUCUAACCAACCACACCCAACCCAACCUAAAAUCCGACAAAGUAAUAAAAUUCUUAUUGAAGGGACCAAAGGGUCAAUUAUAAGAUGGACAAAUGAAGUGUUACCGAGUAAAAUGGAAGAAAGGAUGAGUUAAUAUAAUGGUCUUGUGAAAUUGAUGGAAUGACCAUGUUGUUUUCAAACGCAACAAAUUAGUUAUAUGUGUUUGCUUUUUAAGUGUGGAUCAUCAUCAUGUUGUUAUAAACCCAGUAAGUCGAUGACCACAAUAGAUAUUAAACUCAUGUUUUAGAGCAAGCAUCAAUUAAUCAGCGGGUGAAAUGCCUAGACUUGUUACAUAUUCGAUUUUUGAAACUUUUAAAUAUUAUAUAUAGUGGUCCUAAAAUUUUAAACUAUUAUUAGGUAAAGUAAUGCCGAAUUUCCUACAUAUACAUAACAUUUGAAAAUUUGCAGGACCAACACGCAAUUUUGUCAAAAAAUCAAGGAACCAUAUGAUCCAACACAAAAGACAAAACCAACAAUUGGAACAUGUCUCACUGGAACAUGCCUUGAUGAAUACCAUCGAUAUCCAAGAAAUUUGGCAUUUUUAGGUAUUAAAGUUAACAAAUAAGCAUAUAAUUGGUUGGCACGUACUUAGGUUAGAAUAUUUACCAAUUAGAAACAACGUAGGAUCAUCACUAGGGAUAAACAAAGGCUGUGUUUGGCCUUAUUAUAGCUUCGACUUCAUCACCAAAUUUGGAAUAACAUGUUGUUAGUUUCAUCAUUAUGAUGUAGGAAAUUAAAAAGUUUUUUUGAGAUUAAUGCAAAUAAAAUUAUUUUAGAAAUUGGUAGAAUUUGAUAUAUAACUUUUUGAUUUAAUUGGACCAUGAAAAGCUUAUGAUAUAAUUUGUAGCACAGUCAAGUUGUAUAUAACUCGAGUUAUUGAGAAUCGUUCGUAAUUGACUUAUAGAGUGCUUACUAAUAAUUUGGUGUUGUUAUACUCGAUUAGUUGUAGAGAUAGGGAUUUGUAACGGUGUGGUGGAUAAUUGUUUAACACAUAAUUUUUAACCCUUUUUUAAUAAAAUGUGUAGUCCUUUUUUUUAUGAAGACGGAUUGAGUGAUUAAUGAUUUAUCUUUUUAGUAGUUCACUGGUUAAAAAUGAAACACAAAAGAAAUUUAGAAAAUGUAAUGAUUGAGAGUACUUCCUUUUCUUGUCCAAUGUUGAAACAUCAUGCUUUGCCUAACUUUGAUUCUUUCCUUUUGUUUUCAUCAAUAGUAUCAUAUGUUAUUCAUUAUUUAAUAAAAUAUUAUUCCCAAUUUUCACUUUCCUCCCCAAUCCAAAAUAUGCAAUCAAUAUGAAUAUCUCUACAAAAUUCGAGAGUUUGAUGUUUAAUCCGAUUCAACUUGUUAAACAUAUAUUUAAUUUCAAGAUAUCAUACAGUUUAUGUAUGUCAUUAAGGAUGUUCUUCAUAAUGUAUAGUAGUAAUUUAACUAUAGUUUAUAGUGAUUGUAUUCCAUUAAAUCACAUACUUAAUACAUUAUUGUCUACUCGGUGAAUUAGACUAUGGUGAUGUAUAGUUUGAAUGAGUUUGAUUCAAUAAAUAUAUUUAAUAACUCUUUUGAAGAUGUGUAGGUAAUGUCACGAAAACACAACUACACACGGCUUUCAUGCGGAUGUGAAACAAUACAUGAUUGAUGGAACUAAAGUAUAUAGCAUUAAGAUGUUACAUGACGUAAUGUGAUGUAAACUUACGACGUGAACGAAGUAUUCGAAAAAUCAUUCGGUCCAAACCGGUUUAGCAUCCGAACCGUGAUGGGCUUGACUUUUGUGUCUUUAUUAAAGGUAAUUAAAUGGAACUCGGAGUUACCAAAUCAAACCACCAACUACAACGGUUAAGGAAGAACAUAUCACGCUUUUUCUCUCUGUCGAAAUUGAAAUGGGCCCACUAAUAUGAACUGGCCGGCCCAAGUAGCUGGCAAACAAACAUGUCUGACAGCCUGUUCUCUCUUUCCCUUUCUAAAACUCCCAAAACCCCAAAUACCGAAAACACCCUUUUAGUCCAUUUCAAAAUUCAUUAAAAUUUUUGAACCAGUUUGAAUAACAUAAUAAUUACUAAUUAUAUUAACUAGUUCGGUUCGGGUGAUGUCUAGAUCAAAUAUAGACAGAACCUUCGAAAUAGGAGCAUCAAUUGGGCAAUAGGUUAGAUCAGAAAUUGGAAAAAAGCAUACUUACUUUGUUGUAUAAUUGUCUUCAUGAUAGAUAUGAAUAGAUUCGAAUUUUUACGCCUUCUUCAUCAACUCGUGAAUCUAAUUCAAAACACCAGAGUGUUAGCUGGUAAAUCCCCAUGUUGCAUGACGUAUCACUAUAAUGUGUAUCAUGUAUUUUUUUGUAUUAAGGCCAGUCACAUCAGCUCUUUAAUACAUAUUGGGUGAUCGAACCGACACCAUACUACAGUUAAACAUCGAUUAAACAAGGCCAACAUAAUCUCGAAUCAAACUCUCAUAUGGCUGCUUAACCUAUCUCUGGAUUAACAGAACCAUUCGAAUUAAGAACAACUCAUUUUAAAGGUACCGAUUUUUUAUGAAAUUUGCACCUUCCCCAUAAGAGAGCUACCAUGCCUAACAGCCUAAUCUCAUAUGUAAGUGUUCUUAAAAAUAAUAAUCCAACCACAUAUCCUCUAUAACAAUAUGACUCGAAAUUAUAUGAAAUAAAGCUUAAUUCCUAGACAUUUGAUCAUCAUUUAUUGUAUACAAUUUGACUAGUAAAAAUCUCCUAAUUAUUUCCCACUUACAAAUAACAAAUUAUAAUCAAACAACAUUUAACGGGCCACCAAAAUCAUAUUUAUGGCAAUUAUUGUCACUUUUAAAAUCUUAAACCAACAAAUGUACUCCACCUAUUUGUUUUUCAAAAAAACCUUAAUUAAUUACUUCAAUAAUUAAAAACCUAAAAUUAACCAAAACGACAGCCGUUAAACAACUCACCCAACAAAAAACCCUAGCCGCAGAUUCUCCCUCCCCCUCCCUUUAAAACUCCCUUUCCCCCUUUCCCAUUCCUCUGUUCACUCUCUUCUUCAACCUCUCUCUCUCUCUCUCUGUAACUUUCCCUUUCCCCCAAAUUUCCUCUCUCUAGACAAAGAUUCAAACUUUCACAUCCAUGGCGGAAGAAACGCAAACCCCAGCUGCAGCCGCAGCUGCCCCUGCUGAGGUAGUCGUGGUUGAGAAGCCAGUCACCGAUUCCCCUGCACCACCAGUCCCAGACCCGGCGGGGGAGGGGGAGGAAGCCGAC